GACGAACCGUGCGAACGUUGUUCGGAAUCACUGGGCUUAAAGGGCGCGUAGGCGGGCUGCCAAGUCCGGGGUGAAAUCUUUCGGCUCAACCGGAAAAGUGCCUUGGAUACUGGCGGUCUUGAGCGAGGUAGGGGCAUGUGGAACUUCCGGUGGAGCGGUGAAAUGCGUUGAUAUCGGAAGGAACGCCGGUGGCGAAAGCGACGUGCUGGACCUCUUCUGACGCUGAGGCGCGAAAGCUAGGGGAGCGAACGG
Molecule: ribosomal RNA, 252 nt
Filed under: uncultured prokaryote
Description: partial 16S ribosomal RNA
Rfam family: Bacterial small subunit ribosomal RNA
Source: RNAcentral